UGAUGUAAAGUGAGGGAGCAAAAUAAAAGCAGUAUCGGCUCCAAAUAUCCGCUCAAGAAAAUCGGCAGCCUGUAUCGGUCAUCGGCUAAGGCUGAUGGAAAGAAAUCGGUAUCGGCACUAAAAAAUCCAUACCGGUCGAUUAUGAUACCAUUAAGUAGUAUACUGUUGUCCUGAGUGGUGCAAGAAGAGAGAGUGUAGCUAUUAGACCAGCCUGCUGUGCAAGUGUACAUUUCUACACAAAGUGCCGAUCAUGAUGAAAUGCUGUUCUGCCUUUCCUCUUUGAACUGUGUAAUAAAAGGAUUUUAUACUCCAUACAUUGUUGUACCAAUACAUGCAGUGCCUAUAAAAAGUAUCCUCUCCCCCCUUGAAUAUUUCCCCUUUUACUGCUUUCAUAAAUGGAAUCUUGAUCAAUUUAUUUUGGCCCUUUUCUUUUACAAUAAUUUACAUAAAAAAACCUGUUUAAUGUCAAAGUGAAAGCAGAUUUCUACAAAGCAAUGCACUGUAUAUGUGUAACUGUAAUGCAAACUAACUUGAGCCCUAAAACUGUAACCAACUUUAGGCUUGAGUUCAUAAUGUAUUCUGUGUACACUGAAUUCAAGAUGCAUGCCAUUUGAUCUGUUCUUUUUUUUAUAUUAGAUUAAUUUAGAGUGCCUCUCCUUUAUAUGAGGUAUGCUAUAUUUAUCCCAAGUAAACAUUUGACUAUUUUUCAACCUUA
Long non-coding RNA from Alosa sapidissima (American shad), 715 nucleotides. RefSeq lists it as uncharacterized. The record is from RefSeq and is a predicted model, not a curated record. The transcript is spliced from 2 exons. NCBI's taxonomy places the organism in Eukaryota, Metazoa, Chordata, Actinopteri, Clupeiformes, Clupeidae.